Molecule: ribosomal RNA, 442 nt
Filed under: uncultured bacterium
Lineage: Bacteria
Description: partial 16S ribosomal RNA
Rfam family: Bacterial small subunit ribosomal RNA
Source: RNAcentral
CCUACGGGAGGCAGCAGUAGGGAAUCUUUCACAAUGGGCGAAAGCCUGAUGGAGCAACGCCGCGUGCAGGAUGAAGGCCUUCGGGUUGUAAACUGCUUUUAUAAGCGAGAAAUAUGAUGGUAACUUAUGAAUAAGGAUCGGCUAACUACGUGCCAGCAGCCGCGGUCAUACGUAGGAUCCGAGCAUUAUCCGGAGUGACUGGGUGUAAAGAGUUGCGUAGGUGGCAUAAUAAGUAGCUAGUGAAAUCUGGUGGCUCAACCAUUCAGACUAUUAGCUAAACUGUUAAGCUCGAGACCGUGAGGGGUAACUGGAAUUCCUAGUGUAGGAGUGAAAUCCGUAGAUAUUAGGAGGAACACCAAUAGCGUAGGCAGGUUGCUGGGACGGUUCUGACACUAAGGCACGAAAGCGUAGGGAGCAAACGGGAUUAGAUACCCUUGUAGUC